Molecule: long non-coding RNA, 339 nt
Filed under: Gossypium barbadense (sea-island cotton)
Lineage: Eukaryota; Viridiplantae; Streptophyta; Magnoliopsida; Malvales; Malvaceae
Description: long non-coding RNA (GBAR_LNC007175)
Source: RNAcentral
UCACGGCAAGGGGGGGGACAAUCACACAUAUCCUUUCUUUUUUUUGUUUCUCAUCCUACUAACACUAAUAUUUUAUUGCCCAUGCUCUUUAUUUUAUUGUUUCCUCCCAUGAUGCACCAACACAACAUGUCUACGACAUGUUUUGCCCAUCACCCUUUGUCCAUCCUAAUGUCAUGGCCGGCCACUACUAGAUGGGGGGAAAAUUGGCAUGCAAGUCCCCCCUUUUUCAACAUGCACUAAUAGGUCCUUAUGUUUUGAUCUAUCACAUUUCAAAAAUGUCACACAUAAGUCCUAUUGACUAAAUUCACAUGAAAUUUACUAAAUCGAAGCUUAAAAUUU